AUACUAGGGUGGCAGGAGAGAUAUCAUGAUCAAGAGGGUGGUUCACCCACGGUAAUGCUCAGCUGCUGCACUCCGGUUGUGCUGACUCUUAAGAAUUCCCCAAUUGAGAGUCUCGACUGCAUAAGUUCUUGUUCGGGGACUGGACUUGCGCUCUCCCCUG
Molecule: small nuclear RNA, 160 nt
Organism: Syngnathoides biaculeatus (alligator pipefish)
Lineage: Eukaryota; Metazoa; Chordata; Actinopteri; Syngnathiformes; Syngnathidae
Product: U1 spliceosomal RNA
Exons: 1
Source: RefSeq, a predicted model, not a curated record